Molecule: ribosomal RNA, 489 nt
Filed under: uncultured bacterium
Lineage: Bacteria
Description: partial 16S ribosomal RNA
Rfam family: Bacterial small subunit ribosomal RNA
Source: RNAcentral
GACGAACGCUGGCGGCGUGCUUAACACAUGCAAGUCGAACGGUGAAGGGAUCAGCUUGCUGGUUCUGGAUGAGUGGCGAACGGGUGAGUAACACGUGAGUAACCUGCCCCCUUCUUCUGGAUAACCGCAUGAAAGUGUGGCUAAUACGGGAUAUUCUGCGCCUGCUGCAUGGCGGGUGUGGGAAAGAUAUUGUUUCGGUGGGGGAUGGGCUCGCGUCCUAUCAGCUUGUUGGUGGGGUGAUGGCCUACCAAGGCGGUGACGGCUGGCCGGACUGAGAGGGUGGACGGUCACACUGGGACUGAGACACGGCCCAGACUCCUACGGGAGGCAGCAGUAGGGAAGAUUGCACAAUGGGCGCAAGCCUGAGGCAGCGACGCCGCGUGAGGGGUGGAGGCCUUCGGGUUGUGAACCUCUUACGCCAGUGAAGCAGGACUGUCCCUUGUGGGUGGGUUGACGGUAGCUGGAGAAAAAGCGCCGGCUAACUACGUG